This 506-nucleotide ribosomal RNA is filed under the name uncultured bacterium. Its description in RNAcentral is "partial 16S ribosomal RNA". It matches the Rfam family "Bacterial small subunit ribosomal RNA", at positions 30 to 523 of the family's 1533-position model. The record is from RNAcentral.
AUUGAACGCUGGCGGCAGGCCUAACACAUGCAAGUCGAACGGUAACAGGAAGCAGCUUGCUGCUUCGCUGACGAGUGGCGGACGGGUGAGUAAUGUCUGGGAAACUGCCUGAUGGAGGGGGAUAACUACUGGAAACGGUAGCUAAUACCGCAUAACGUCGCAAGACCAAAGAGGGGGACCUUCGGGCCUCUUGCCAUCGGAUGUGCCCAGAUGGGAUUAGCUAGUAGGUGGGGUAACGGCUCACCUAGGCGACGAUCCCUAGCUGGUCUGAGAGGAUGACCAGCCAAACUGGAACUGAGACACGGUCCAGACUCCUACGGGAGGCAGCAGUGGGGAAUAUUGCACAAUGGGCGCAAGCCUGAUGCAGCCAUGCCGCGUGUAUGAAGAAGGCCUUCGGGUUGUAAAGUACUUUCAGCGGGGAGGAAGGGAGUAAAGUUAAUACCUUUGCUCAUUGACGUUACCCGCAGAAGAAGCACCGGCUAACUCCGUGCCAGCCGCCGCAGUAA